Ailuropoda melanoleuca (giant panda) is the source of this 960-nucleotide long non-coding RNA. RefSeq lists it as uncharacterized. The record is from RefSeq and is a predicted model, not a curated record. The transcript has 3 exons. Lineage: Eukaryota; Metazoa; Chordata; Mammalia; Carnivora; Ursidae.
UUACAGCCGUUCUACCGUAGCAUAUGGGCUUUGGGGCCAGACUCAGCUGUAUGACUCUCAGCUCUGCCCCUCGGGACUGGUGAGAACUCGGGCAAGGUCGCUUAUCUGCAAUGAGCCUCAGUUUCCUUACCUAGAAAAGGGGAAUGAUAAUCCUCUCCUCAGGGUUAUAGAAAAGAUGGUGGGAGAGAAUGUGUGUAAGAUGCUUGGGACACAGUGGGGACUCAAUGAGCACCGUCUCCUUUCCCUUUUGGUUUCUAUUUUCUUUCUGGUUAAAAUUCCCAAUUUUAUUGCUAUGCCUUUUCUUGCAAGUUGAUCUAAUUUCUUUGUGGAAAAAGUGUUGUGUAAAGAAAUAGCUAUAAAAUAGAUGGUCACUCGGUGUAAGUUUGUGGCACCUAUCGAUUUAUUCAUCUGUUUCCCUUCCAGCCCGGGGGCCCCAUGAGGACAAUAUCACCUCCAUUUCUCCGUGUCUGGGGCUUCCCGCUGGCCUCCAGAUGGCAUUGAGACUCCAUAACAUGACCCGCGAGACCUUCUGGAAGCUGACUGCUGCCCGCUGCCCUGUGUUACAGCACUAUGGACCAUCCUGCUUUGUCUUGAUCCAGGCAGGGGGUGGAGAAGGCAAGACGGAUGUCCAACUCCCCAUAUUCCAUCUCCUGAUUGGCUCAAGAGUGGACCUGUGACCAAAGUAGGGCCAAUGGGAUUCAACCCUGGGAUUUCUGCUGGAACAACUAGGAACACGAAACUGCUUUCCAGCUGUGAUUUCCGGCCGGAGGACGGGGCAAAUCCGGAGCUGCUAGUGCCACCAGCGGGAUCCUGACAGGAAGUGAGUGGGCAGAGGGAGAGCAGGAGGUUGAGUCUGGAUGACAUCCUAUGAGCUUCCGGAUCCACCAAAGCCCGGAGCCUGGACAACUUGGUUACCUAAGCCAAUUCCCUUUAUGGCUGUGGCAAAUAGUGAAACUCGGC